Passer domesticus (house sparrow) is the source of this 328-nucleotide long non-coding RNA. RefSeq lists it as uncharacterized. The transcript has 3 exons. The record is from RefSeq and is a predicted model, not a curated record. NCBI's taxonomy places the organism in Eukaryota, Metazoa, Chordata, Aves, Passeriformes, Passeridae.
GGGCCCCGCCCUGCCCCACCCCGGGUGGAGCAGAAUCGUGAGGGGAAAAGCUUGUAAUUACUUUCAGCAUUGGAUACUUUACUGCUACAGAUCUAGUAACUUACUUGACAGAAUACCUGGCACCUGAUAUGAAUGCAUGCAGUUAUCCUGACGCCCAGAACUCACUGCUAGCUACAAGAGCCAUGCAAAGACUAUGGAUUGGUUGAUGGAAACAACUGUGUGGAUACAGAAGCAAUUUCAUUUCUCUGAAGUAUUUGGCUUGGUAUCACAGGGUAUUUUGAUUAAAACCUACAACUGUGUUAGAAGGAAUAAACAACUGUCUCACUUU